AUUAACAAUGGGAGGGAUUGUGACUGGUGGAUUAACAAUGGGAGGGAUUGUGACUGGUGGCUUAACAAUGGGAGGGAUUGUGACUGGUGGCUUAACAACGGGUACUGUGGGUGUCUUUGGUGUUUUACCAGGCUUGUGCUUUUUGGGGGGUUUGCCACAGUAGCCACAACCGAGAAUGGGAGUGGCGGAGGAGAGGAAGAGCAUGCAAAGGAAGAGGUAAGCAUAGAUCUUUGAGGACUCCAUGCUUACAAGUUACAAAGAGAGAGAAAGUAGUAAUUGUAAUAUAGUGGAGAUGCAGGUGGAGGAAGCUGGGGGAGG
RNAcentral lists this long non-coding RNA (318 nucleotides) under Glycine max (soybean). Its description in RNAcentral is "long non-coding RNA (GMAX_LNC002921)". Lineage: Eukaryota; Viridiplantae; Streptophyta; Magnoliopsida; Fabales; Fabaceae. The record is from RNAcentral.